GUGCUUGCUUUGGCAGCAUGCAUACUAAAAUUGGAAUGAUACAGAGAAGAUUAGCAGGGCCCUGCACAAGGAUGACAUGCCAAUUCGUGAAGUGUUCUGUAUUUUC
RNAcentral lists this small nuclear RNA (106 nucleotides) under Neotoma lepida (desert woodrat). Lineage: Eukaryota; Metazoa; Chordata; Mammalia; Rodentia; Cricetidae. The record is from RNAcentral.